Molecule: transfer RNA, 71 nt
Filed under: Ictidomys tridecemlineatus (thirteen-lined ground squirrel)
Lineage: Eukaryota; Metazoa; Chordata; Mammalia; Rodentia; Sciuridae
Description: Spermophilus tridecemlineatus (thirteen-lined ground squirrel) tRNA
Rfam family: tRNA
About the family: Transfer RNA (tRNA) molecules are approximately 80 nucleotides in length. Their secondary structure includes four short double-helical elements and three loops (D, anti-codon, and T loops).
Source: Rfam by way of RNAcentral
GAGGAUGUAGUUCAGUGUUAGAGUGCUUGCCUUGCAUGUGCAAGACCCAUGGUUCAAUCCCAACAUCAUUA